This 484-nucleotide ribosomal RNA is filed under the name uncultured bacterium. Its description in RNAcentral is "partial 16S ribosomal RNA". It matches the Rfam family "Bacterial small subunit ribosomal RNA", at positions 29 to 507 of the family's 1533-position model. The record is from RNAcentral.
AUUGAACGCUGGCGGCAUGCUUUACACAUGCAAGUCGAACGGCAGCGCGGGCUUCGGCCUGGCGGCGAGUGGCGAACGGGUGAGUAAUACAUCGGAACGUGCCCAGUAGUGGGGGAUAGCUCGGCGAAAGCCGGAUUAAUACCGCAUACGACCUGAGGGUGAAAGCGGGGGAUCUUCGGACCUCGCGCUAUUGGAGCGGCCGAUGGCAGAUUAGCUAGUUGGUGGGGUAAAGGCCUACCAAGGCGACGAUCUGUAGCUGGUCUGAGAGGACGACCAGCCACACUGGGACUGGGACACGGCCCAGACUCCUACGGGAGGCAGCAGUGGGGAAUUUUGGACAAUGGGCGAAAGCCUGAUCCAGCAAUGCCGCGUGUGUGAUGAAGGCCUUCGGGUUGUAAAGCACUUUUGGCGGGAACGAAAAGGACUGUGCCAAUACCACGGUUCGAUGACGGCACCCGCAGAAUAAGCACCGGCUAACUACGUG